CACGUAGGGCGCAAGCGUUGUCCGGAAUUAUUGGGCGUAAAGAGCUCGUAGGCGGUCUGUUGCGUCCGCUGUGAAAACUCGGGGCUUAACCCCGAGCCUGCAGUGGAUACGGGCAGACUAGAGGUAGGUAGGGGAGAAUGGAAUUCCCGGUGUAGCGGUGAAAUGCGCAGAUAUCAGGAGGAACACCGGUGGCGAAGGCGGUUCUCUGGGCCUUACCUGACACUGAGGAGCGAAAGCGUGGGGAGCGAACAGG
This 253-nucleotide ribosomal RNA is filed under the name uncultured bacterium. RNAcentral describes it as "partial 16S ribosomal RNA". It matches the Rfam family "Bacterial small subunit ribosomal RNA", at positions 524 to 776 of the family's 1533-position model. The record is from RNAcentral.